CGGGAGAUGCCUCUUGCAUAAUGAACAUUUUGAAUUAGUGACUCUUUGUUGUUAUUGUUUUGUCAUACACUCUCCUGCAGAUUGGCCGACGGAUCCAUUUUCCAUUAAUAUUCUGGGCUUCAUUAAAGAUUGACACAGAGUGAUAAUUGGAGCAUAAUCUCCCCACUGAAGUUCCACUCAUAGCUGUUGGCAAUAAGAGACGCAACACGUCAGAUCCAACACGUCAUUUCGCAAAAGAAUCCAUUCAAACGUAGCCGAAUACCCUGGAGGUCAACUUCCUUGACGACAUUUCCCAGCCUUGAAUACGCCAGAAGACUGGACUACAACUUCCAUCAUCCUGAAUCAUCUUGGGGACAACCCAACACAUCUGGGUACCACUUGACUCAAAAGAGGCUCCUUUGUAAAUUUUCCUUUCGCCUAUUUGGGUUAUUGCGAAAAAUUAUUGGCGCCUCCCUUUGGCUUGCUCUGAAGAAAAAAGCAUUUUAAAAAAUCUCUAGUUUAAAGAUGUCAACGAUUUUGGAAAGCGUCGACAUAUUGUGUGGCAUCCUGCUUGGCUGAAAGCCUUUUGUGCACUGCUGAAGUUAAGCAAAGUGAGAGAAUGUGAUCAGGAAACACGGUUUGAUCUUUGGCGUGUAUAAAUCUCCAUCCUGAUCGCUGCCAAAUGUUUGGAUCACCAGAAUUUCCUGUACAAAAAAAAUGUUGUGGCUUCCAGUAACACACAAGGGGGACCUUCCCUCUUCCACCUAAUCAGGCCCACUAUUGUUCUCCAGAUAAGGACAUCUAGACUAAUUUUAGGAUGUUCUUAGCUCAAAGUUUUUAUUUCUCCCAAAUGGCCUCUGGUCUUGCCAAGUUCCCUACAUUUUUAUAGCCUAAAAUAAAAAUCCUUCGUCUGA
Crotalus tigris (Tiger rattlesnake) is the source of this 893-nucleotide long non-coding RNA. RefSeq lists it as uncharacterized. The record is from RefSeq and is a predicted model, not a curated record. NCBI's taxonomy places the organism in Eukaryota, Metazoa, Chordata, Lepidosauria, Squamata, Viperidae. The transcript has 2 exons.